UACGUAGGCAGCAAGCGUUGUUCGGAAUUACUGGGCGUAAAGAGUGUGUAGGCGGUGUUCUAAGUUUGUCGUAAAAUCUCCCGGCUUAACUGGGAGGGUGCGGCGAAAACUGGAAUGCUAGAGGAUGGGAGAGGUAAGCGGAAUUCCUGGUGUAGCGGUGAAAUGCGUAGAUAUCAGGAGGAACACCUGUGGUGUAGACAGCUUACUGGACCAUUUCUGACGCUGAGACACGAAAGCGUGGGUAGCAAACAGG
This 253-nucleotide ribosomal RNA is filed under the name uncultured bacterium. RNAcentral describes it as "partial 16S ribosomal RNA". It matches the Rfam family "Bacterial small subunit ribosomal RNA", at positions 524 to 776 of the family's 1533-position model. The record is from RNAcentral.